RNAcentral lists this ribosomal RNA (1382 nucleotides) under uncultured marine bacterium. RNAcentral describes it as "bacterial SSU rRNA". It matches the Rfam family "Bacterial small subunit ribosomal RNA". The record is from RNAcentral.
GAGUUUGAUCCUGGCUCAGGACGAACGCUGGCGGUGCGCCUUAUGCAUGCAAGUUGAGCGAAGCUUUUUGGUAGUUUACUACUAGAAAUGACUGAGCGGCGAACGGGUGAGUAACGCGUGAGCAAUCUACCUUAGUUACUGGGAUAGCCCGAGGAAACUCGGAUUAAUACCGGAUAUUCUUAUUUUUUCACAUGAAGUUUUAAGGAAAGGUCAGCCGAACUAAGAUGAGCUCGCGUUCUAUCAGCUAGUUGGUGGGGUAAAAGCCUACCAAGGCUACGACGGAUAGCUGGUCUGAGAGGACGAUCAGCCACACUGGGACUGAGACACGGCCCAGACUCCUACGGGAGGCUGCAGCAGGGAAUAUUGUGCAAUGAGCGAAAGCUUGACACAGCGACACCGCGUGUGGGAUGACGGUUCUAGGAUUGUAAACCACUUUCAGGAGGGAAGAAAAUGACGGUACCUCCACAAGAAGACCCGGCCAACUAUGUGCCAGCAGCCGCGGUAAUACAUAGGGGUCAAGCGUUGUCCGGAUUUAUUGGGCGUAAAGAGCUCGUAGGCGGUUCAACAAGUCGGUCGUAAAAGUUUAGGGCUCAACCCUAAAAUGUCGAUCGAUACUGUUGUUACUAGGAUACGGUAGAGGUGAAUGGAAUUCCGAGUGUAGCGGUGAAAUGCGUAGAUAUUCGGAGGAACACCAAUUGCGAAGGCAGUUCACUGGACCGUGAUCGACGCUGAGGAGCGAAAGCUAGGGGAGCAAACAGGAUUAGAUACCCUGGUAGUCCUAGCUGUAAACGAUGGAUACUAGAUGUAGGAACUGGAUUGACGGUUUCUGUAUCGUAGCUAACGCGUUAAGUAUCCCGCCUGGGGAGUACGGUCGCAAGACUAAAACUCAAAGGAAUUGACGGGACCCCGCACAAGCGGCGGAGCAUGCGGCUUAAUUCGAUGAUACCCGUAGAACCUUACCUGGACUUGACAUAUAGGGAAAAACUGGAGAAAUCCAGUGUGCGUAAGCGCCCUAUACAGGUGGUGCAUGGCUGUCGUCAGCCCGUGUCGUGAGAUGUUGGGUUAAGUCCCGCAACGAGCGCAACCCCUGUCCUAUGUUGCCAGCAAGUAAUGUUGGGGACUCAUAGGAGACUGCCGGUGAUAAACCGGAGGAAGGUGGGGACGACGUCAAGUCAUCAUGCCCCUUAUGUCCAGGGCUGCACGCAUGCUACAAUGGCAAGUACAACGAGUCGCAAUACCGCGAGGUGGAGCAAAUCUCUUAAAGCUUGUCUCAGUUCGGAUAGGAGUCUGCAACUCGACUCCUUGAAGUUGGAGUCGCUAGUAAUCGCAUAUCAGCAAAGUUGCGGUGAAUACGUUCUCGGGGUUUGUACACACCGCCCGUC